AGACCCGAAACCCGGUGAUCUAGCCAUGGGCAGGUUGAAGGUUGGGUAACACUAACUGGAGGACCGAACCGACUAAUGUUGAAAAAUUAGCGGAUGACCUGUGGCUGGGGGUGAAAGGCCAAUCAAACCGGGAGAUAGCUGGUUCUCCCCGAAAGCUAUUUAGGUAGCGCCUCGUGAAUUCAUCUCCGGGGGUAGAGCACUGUUUCGGCUAGGGGGCCAUCCCGGCUUACCAACCCGAUGCAAACUGCGAAUACCGGAGAAUGUUAUCACGGGAGACACACGGCGGGUGCUAACGUCCGUCGUGAAGAGGGAAACAACCCAGACCGCCAGCUAAGGUCCCAAAGUCAUGGUUAAGUGGGAAACGAUGUGGGAAGGCCCAGACAGCCAGGAUGUUGGCUUAGAAGCAGCCAUCAUUUAAAGAAAGCGUAAUAGCUCACUGGUCGAGUCGGCCUGCGCGGAAGAUGUAACGGGGCUAAACCAUGCACCGAAGCUGCGGCAGCGAACGUAUCACCCAAGACAACUUUACGGAGUUGACGAUUGACGGAGCGAAGCGACGUCAAAGCGUUCAUUAAAGUCGAGUUGGCUUAGGGAUACGUUCGUUGGGUAGGGGAGCGUUCUGUAAGCCUGUGAAGGUGUGUCGUGAGGCAUGCUGGAGGUAUCAGAAGUGCGA
This 670-nucleotide ribosomal RNA is filed under the name Salmonella enterica. RNAcentral's name for it is "partial 23S ribosomal RNA". It matches the Rfam family "Bacterial large subunit ribosomal RNA", at positions 711 to 1293 of the family's 2925-position model. RNAcentral also lists the same sequence under 1 other name. Lineage: Bacteria; Pseudomonadati; Pseudomonadota; Gammaproteobacteria; Enterobacterales; Enterobacteriaceae. The record is from RNAcentral.